RNAcentral lists this ribosomal RNA (538 nucleotides) under Colletotrichum gloeosporioides. RNAcentral describes it as "eukaryotic LSU rRNA". The stretch from base 178 to 331 matches the Rfam family "5.8S ribosomal RNA". Lineage: Eukaryota; Fungi; Ascomycota; Sordariomycetes; Glomerellales; Glomerellaceae. The record is from RNAcentral.
CAUUACUGAGUUUACGCUCUAUAACCCUUUGUGAACAUACCUAUAACUGUUGCUUCGGCGGGUAGGGUCUCCGCGACACUCCCGGCCUCCCGCCCCCGGGCGGGUCGGCGCCCGCCGGAGGAUAACCAAACUCUGAUGUAACGACGUUUCUUCUGAGUGGUACAAGCAAAUAAUCAAAACUUUUAACAACGGAUCUCUUGGUUCUGGCAUCGAUGAAGAACGCAGCGAAAUGCGAUAAGUAAUGUGAAUUGCAGAAUUCAGUGAAUCAUCGAAUCUUUGAACGCACAUUGCGCCCGCCAGCAUUCUGGCGGGCAUGCCUGUUCGAGCGUCAUUUCAACCCUCAAGCUCUGCUUGGUGUUGGGGCCCUACAGCUGAUGUAGGCCCUCAAAGGUAGUGGCGGACCCUCCCGGAGCCUCCUUUGCGUAGUAACUUUACGUCUCGCACUGGGAUCCGGAGGGACUCUUGCCGUAAAACCCCCAAUUCUCCAAAGGUUGACCUCGGAUCAGGUAGGAAUACCCGCUGAACUUAAGCAUAUAUU